RNAcentral lists this ribosomal RNA (253 nucleotides) under uncultured bacterium. RNAcentral describes it as "partial 16S ribosomal RNA". It matches the Rfam family "Bacterial small subunit ribosomal RNA", at positions 524 to 776 of the family's 1533-position model. The record is from RNAcentral.
UACAGAGGGGGCAAGCGUUGUUCGGAAUUACUGGGCGUAAAGGGCGCGUAGGCGGCCAACUAAGUCGGACGUGAAAUCCCCGGGCUCAACCCGGGAACUGCGUCCGAUACUGGAUGGCUUGAAUCCGGGAGAGGGAUGUGGAAUUCCAGGUGUAGCGGUGAAAUGCGUAGAUAUCUGGAGGAACACCGGUGGCGAAGGCGGCAUCCUGGACCAACACUGACACUGAGGAGCGAAAGCCAGGGGAGCAAACGGG